Zingiber officinale is the source of this 299-nucleotide long non-coding RNA. RefSeq lists it as uncharacterized. The record is from RefSeq and is a predicted model, not a curated record. NCBI's taxonomy places the organism in Eukaryota, Viridiplantae, Streptophyta, Magnoliopsida, Zingiberales, Zingiberaceae. The transcript is spliced from 3 exons.
CUGAGUUGCAGUGAGUCCAGUGUAUUUCCUUGACCUAGAUCAAUGAUGGGAUCAAGAGGAGUGGUGAAAUGUGUUGUUCGGUUGUGGAAUGCUUUGAGUGCUAUGUACUGUAGUUUCUGUGAAGGCUGUGGGUGGUUGGUCGGAAUUGGUUAACAGUGGAUCUUGAUCUAUACGAGCAGCGUGACGUGGGGUGGUUCUGUUGAUACGAGAUAUCUGGAGGCGGGUAGUAGGUAGUUGAUUGGAGUUACUUGGAGUAUGCUGCCAGCCGGUCCCACUUCCCGCGUUACAUCCGAGGAUUC